RNAcentral lists this ribosomal RNA (522 nucleotides) under uncultured bacterium. RNAcentral's name for it is "bacterial SSU rRNA". It matches the Rfam family "Bacterial small subunit ribosomal RNA", at positions 1 to 526 of the family's 1533-position model. The record is from RNAcentral.
GCUAUUUAGGUUAGAGUUUGAUCAUGGCUCAGGACGAACGCUGGCGGCGUGCUUAAUACAUGCAAGUCGAACGAGGUCCAUCCGGUAGCAAUACCGGUGAAGACCUAGUGGCGAACGGGUGCGUAACACGUGAGGAACCUGUCCCGAAGACUGGGAUAACACCGGGAAACCGGUGCUAAUACCGGAUGCCUUCAUUGGAUCGCAUGACCUGAUGAAGAAACGAAUUUCGCUUCGGGAGGGCCUCGCGGCCUAUCAGCUUGUUGGUGGGGUAACGGCUCACCAAGGCAACGACGGGUAGCCGGCCUGAGAGGGCGACCGGUCACACUGGGACUGAGACACGGCCCAGACUCCUACGGGAGGCAGCAGUGGGGAAUAUUGCGCAAUGGGCGGAAGCCUGACGCAGCGACGCCGCGUGAGGGAUGACGGCCUUCGGGUUGUAAAGCUCUUUUGGCGGGGACGAUGAUGACGGUACCCGCAGAAUAAGCCCCGGCUAACUUCGUGCCAGCAGCCGCGGUAAUCGCC